Molecule: unclassified non-coding RNA, 285 nt
Filed under: Hevea brasiliensis (rubber tree)
Lineage: Eukaryota; Viridiplantae; Streptophyta; Magnoliopsida; Malpighiales; Euphorbiaceae
Source: RNAcentral
GGGUUGAAGGAGGCUACUGAAAGGUGCUCGACCAAAAAGCUUGCUUUGCCAUUAAAAUUGUUUGGAAAUUGGAUGGAGGUGGCAAAAUAUACACAUUUUGAAACUUGUAUAGAUUAGUUUCUCUCUCCUUUAGACUUCAAGGAUAUUGAUGAGGACUUGCUAUCUAAUAGAGCUGAAUAUCAAAAAAGAAUCCAUAUAUUGACCGCAAUUAGUUUGGGAUUAAAGUUUAUUGUUGUGGUUGUUGUUUUAGACUUAACGGAGUUAAACAUGAGAUUUAGAAGAGGA